UGAUGCAUGAGUGAAUAGUAUACAAAUUUGCUUUGGCUUGCAUGAGGGUGAGAGAUGUCCACAUGGGUUUCUGAACACCUGCAUGGAUUUAACUUCCUAAGGCAUUGAGUUCUCAGAAAAAUGAGGGCAGAUAGACAGGAAGGAAAAUCAGAGUGAGAUGGGCAAAUUGGCAGGAAGGGUCUGGGUGGGAGCCAUUCUCCACCUGGGCCACUGGAGUAGUGCUGAAGGAAUACUCUGAUGGCCCAGUUAGGUUCUGGUUAUCUGACCUGGUAGGGCUGUAUGGCACAGCAGUAGAGGGACAAAGUGAAGGGGACACCUAGGAAACUCUUCAUAAGCUCUCCUAUUUUUGAUGUAGACAGUAGCUCUUGGCAUAGAAAAUCAUUCCUAGCAUUGGAGGAUGGAAAGUUAUAUCGCUCCCUUUCAGCUUUCUUUCCACUAGAAUCAUGUGCCAUCCUAAUACUUUAUCCAAGUCCUGGUUACCAGUGAGCGGGCCAUGAAACAGAGAGGCCCAGCCUUGCCCUUUGGAGAAGUUUCUAUCCUUUCAGUGAAUUGUUGUCAACAAUAGCGCUGGGCUCAGCAAAUUCCUUGGUAGGACUGAGACAAGGAUGGGUCACAGAGAUAGCCUGGCUGGGGCUCUCUGCCAAGUGCUGAAGGUGUUGUAAGAAAUCCCUUCUUAGGCGUUGCUGAGUCAGCGUGACCACACUCACCAGGAGGAAAUACUGGCAACUCUGAAGGAAUGAAUAGGGCUUUGGGGGACCCUGGCCUGAGUCAGAAGUGAUGCUCCCCACCUUGUUUGAAUUCUGGGUGUUCAAAGAGCCUGACUAUCACCACACAUCGCCUUGGGUGUGAUCAGCAUCAAGCUAGUUCCUAAAAUAUCAUCACUGGACCCAAUCCUUUCCCUUUUAGUCUUUCACUAUUUGAAGCCUGAGCCCUUUUUCUGUAUUCAUGCAAGAGUGGCCUUGGGGCCUGUCCCUUGGUCAAGUGGUUAAGUUCACGGGCUCCACAUUGGUGGCUCAGGGUUCACCUGUGUGGCUUUUGGGCGCAGACCUACACACUGCUCCUCAAGUCACACUGUGGCAACAUACCACAUAUAAGGACUAGAAGGCCCUACAACUAGGACAUAUGACUAGGCACUGGGACUUAGGGGAGAAAAGAAAAAGAGGAAAAUUGUCAACAGAUGUUAGCUCAGGGCCCAACUUCCUCACCAAAGAGGAUACUUUAAAAAAAUAAUACUGCCCAGCUCUGGUCUCACCUGAAACAUGCUAGCCAAGAGCCUAGUCCUCCAUCAACUUCUGGGUAGUUUCAGCCCAUGGCAGAAUCCUGGGUGUGUGGCUGCUGCAUGGAGAUGGGGGAGGGGUGGAGACGGGGUGUUAAGGAGAGUAGUAGAAUGGUAAGAAGAGGACAGAAAGGGAGCCUUAGAGGAAAGUUGAUGACAAAUAUGCCUGAGUUCAGUGUGUGCUCCCUGCAGACCAGAAAUCUACUUUAGCUCCAGGUGAGGUUGAUAAGCAUGAGCUUCUCAUGGUUUUACAGCUUCCCAGUCUAGUCCGUAGUGACUUUAAUGCAUAGUCUGCACCUGGAGAAAGAGUGGGAGGAAUUGUGUCCUUUUGCACUAGAUGUCAAUGUGCAAAACACUAAUUCCAGAGCUCUGCUGCUGAGGUUUCCUUAAGAGAGAAGAGUGUGGAGCAAUGCAAGGUGGUGGGGCUGGCCUCUGGGAUGAUCAGGAAGGAAUUGUCUCCUGGAGGUGAGCACCAUGAUGUCUGGAAACCUUUCCCGCAGGGCAACUAGAGGCAGAGAGCUGCCUGGGAAGUGCUGACAGGCAGAGAAAGACAUGGUAGUGGGACAUGUCUGCCCUGGGUGUUUCCUGGGACUGAGUCCUGAGACUGGGCUGUGCUCUGAGGCUCUAAGGAAUUGCCGCAGAGAGGAAGGGCUGAAUGGGGGACUCUGUGACUGCUCUCUCCCCCCAAUCAAGUAUUCUUCCAUUUUGCCAGUGCAAACAUUUACUAAAGAGACGUUUCUCCUCCCGAGCAUGCUACUAAAGGAGAAUUCCUCUGGGUAGAUGAUAGCAAAUACAGAGAGUGCCUGGGUAUUCUCAAAGAGGUAUUGUUGAUUAAAAUUUUGUUGAUACAUGGCUUACAUUGAACAGUAGACUAAUGACUUUCUGAUAAGUGAAACCCAUAAAAUAGUGUUCACAUUUAACAAAGAAUUUCUCUUUAUCAUCACUCGGAUUUGACAAAAUACUUCCUCAGUGAUUAUUCCACGUAAGAGAACAGAAACUGCAUAAGUGCAGAUGGUAAAUGUCACACUGCAAAGAGUGACUUACACUUUUUUGUUUUUUUUCAAUUAUUUUUUGAAUAAUUGAAAUAAUUAUUUUUGAAGUCACCAUGGUGUAUAACAUUGUGUAAUUUCAGAUGUACAUUAUUAUUGAUUGGUUUCUAUAUAGACUGUCAGAGUAAUUCACAUUUUGAUGGAGCUAGAAAAAUCUGCCAGCUCAUUCUAUAUACUUACCUUAAGAAAGUUUUUAAAGCAUGAUUUAAAUUAAGUGACUUCAGUAAUCUUUUCUUUGAAUAUGGGCUAAUCUUUAGGCUAAAAGUCAUUUUAUUUUGGCGAGCAUUUUGUGUGGAGUUUUGUGUAUCUUCAGAGCAUCCAAACAAGAAGCAGGCCCUCCUCACAUUGACAAUGAGAGCUUUGGUCCACAGUACGGUGGGGAUGGUGUGGUGAAGGAUUUAGGAGAAGGACUCUGGCUGUGAUGGACACGUGGGUUGCUUCCAUCUCUUGGCCAUUGAGAAUAGUGCUGCUGUGAACAUGGGGGCAAAGGUGAACCACAUUGUGCAGCCUCACUUGCUCUUGGGCGUGGCUGUGUGACUGUUGCCACAAAUGGGAUGUGAGUGGAAAUGCUGUGGCACCUUCCAGACCAGACCACAAAUACCAUCCUGCGCUGACCAUGUAGACUCCUCCCCUUCCAGGGUUUGAUGCAGGUGAACAUGGGGAACACGGAUGCCACCUUCAGGGGAGUGAUCCUGGUCUCUGAUCAUGGAGUGACCACAUAAUUACUGCCAAACAAGGACACUUGAGAGUAAGAGGGUCAGCACUCACCACGAAACUCCUUUUGGACUGUGUGUGAGCAAGAACUAGACUUCUCUUGUGUUAGUCACUGAAAUGCUAUAGUUUAUCAGUUAGAAUAAUUAAAGUUAGCUAACACACGGACCAUCUUACUGAAGCCUACCUUUUUCUGAAUUGUAAUAUUUAUAAAAAUAAAUUUAUUUUAAUCAUUA
Non-coding RNA from Equus caballus (horse), 3272 nucleotides. Lineage: Eukaryota; Metazoa; Chordata; Mammalia; Perissodactyla; Equidae. The record is from RefSeq and is a predicted model, not a curated record.